AGAGUUUGAUCCUGGCUCAGGACGAACGCUGGCGGUGUGCUUCACACAUGCAAGUCGAACGGAGUAGCAAUACUCAGUGGCGGACGGGUGAGUAACACGUGGGAAUCUACCAUUAGAUGGGGGAUAGCAAACCGAAAGGUUUAUUAAUACCGCAUAUGUAUUAACCUCGACAGGGGUGAAUAUGAAAGGAGUAAUCCGUCUGAUGAUGAGCCCGCGCCCGAUUAGCUAGUUGGUAAGGUAAAAGCUUACCAAGGCGACGAUCGGUAGGUGGUCUGAGAGGAUGAUCACCCACAAUGGGACUGAGACACGGCCCAUACUCCUACGGGAGGCAGCAGUGGGGAAUUUUGUGCAAUGGGGGAAACCCUGACACAGCGACACCGCGUGAGCGAAGAAGCCCCUUGGGGUGUAAAGCUCUGUCAACGGGAACGAAAAAAAUGACGGUACCCGUGGAGGAAGCAUCGGCUAACUACGUGCCAGCAGCCGCGGUAAUAC
This 492-nucleotide ribosomal RNA is filed under the name uncultured bacterium. Its description in RNAcentral is "bacterial SSU rRNA". It matches the Rfam family "Bacterial small subunit ribosomal RNA", at positions 8 to 526 of the family's 1533-position model. The record is from RNAcentral.